UAAGGAAUAUUGGUCAAUGGGCGGAAGCCUGAACCAGCCAUGCCGCGUGCAGGAUGACUGCCCUAUGGGUUGUAAACUGCUUUUGUCCAGGAAUAAACCUAGAUACGUGUAUCUAGCUGAAUGUACUGGAAGAAUAAGGAUCGGCUAACUCCGUGCCAGCAGCCGCGGUAAUACGGAGGAUCCGAGCGUUAUCCGGAUUUAUUGGGUUUAAAGGGUGCGUAGGCGGCCUAUUAAGUCAGGGGUGAAAUACGGUGGCUCAACCAUCGCAGUGCCUUUGAUACUGAUGGGCUUGAAUCCAUUUGAAGUGGGCGGAAUAAGACAAGUAGCGGUGAAAUGCAUAGAUAUGUCUUAGAACUCCGAUUGCGAAGGCAGCUCACUAAGCUGGUAUUGACGCUGAUGCACGAAAGCGUGGGGAUCGAACAGG
RNAcentral lists this ribosomal RNA (424 nucleotides) under uncultured bacterium. RNAcentral describes it as "bacterial SSU rRNA". It matches the Rfam family "Bacterial small subunit ribosomal RNA", at positions 355 to 776 of the family's 1533-position model. RNAcentral also lists the same sequence under 1 other name. The record is from RNAcentral.